Molecule: ribosomal RNA, 215 nt
Filed under: uncultured bacterium
Lineage: Bacteria
Description: partial 16S ribosomal RNA
Rfam family: Bacterial small subunit ribosomal RNA
Source: RNAcentral
UACGUAGGGUGCGAGCGUUAAUCGGAAUUACUGGGCGUAAAGCGUGCGCAGGCGGUUCGUUGUGUCCGAUGUGAAAUCCCCGGGCUCAACCUGGGAAUUGCGAUGGAGACUGCAAGGCUAGAAUCUGGCAGAGGGGGGUAGAAUUCCACGUGUAGCAGUGAAAUGCGUAGAGAUGUGGAGGAACACCGAUGGCGAAGGCAGCCCCCUGGGUCAAG